GGAGUUGGGGAGGAUUAGAUGGAGAAAAUCAAGGAGGGAUAAGGGGAGGGAUUUUUGGGGAAAAUUAAGGAGUUUGUGGGAGAGGAGUAGUUGUGUGCCGUAUGGAGUAUGCUUGUACCGAAUUUGGUCUGUGGCAUUGAGAUAAUCGGCGUUGUUGAAGUUGUUUUUCCUCUGCUAGUGUGGUUUCGGCCGGUGUCGCGUCUUUGUUUCUCUGCUUCUAGGUGCCGUUUUUGUUAGUCUGGGGUACCUCUCGGGUUGUUUUUACCUAAUUUCUUUUUGGCUGAACACACUCUCCUCCCUCAUCUUUUCUU
RNAcentral lists this long non-coding RNA (311 nucleotides) under Gossypium raimondii (Peruvian cotton). RNAcentral's name for it is "long non-coding RNA (GRAI_LNC005809)". Lineage: Eukaryota; Viridiplantae; Streptophyta; Magnoliopsida; Malvales; Malvaceae. The record is from RNAcentral.